AGCAGUCGCCGCGGUAAUACGUAGGUCCCGAGCGUUGUCCGGAUUUAUUGGGCGUAAAGGGAGCGCAGGCGGUUUAGUAAGCCUGAAGUUAAAGGCAUUGGCUCAACCAAUGUAUGCUUUGGAAACUGUUAGACUUGAGUGCAGAAGGGGAGAGUGGAAUUCCAUGUGUAGCGGUGAAAUGCGUAGAUAUAUGGAGGAACACCGGUGGCGAAAGCGGCUCUCUGGUUUGUAACUGACGCUGAGGCUCGAAAGCGUGAGGAGCAAACAGGGUUAGAUACCCCUGUAGUCCCUGUCUCUUAUACA
RNAcentral lists this ribosomal RNA (303 nucleotides) under uncultured bacterium. RNAcentral describes it as "partial 16S ribosomal RNA". It matches the Rfam family "Bacterial small subunit ribosomal RNA", at positions 507 to 808 of the family's 1533-position model. The record is from RNAcentral.